GAUGAACGCUGGCGGCGUGCCUAAUACAUGCAAGUCGAGCGAACAGACGAGGAGCUUGCUCCUCUGACGUUAGCGGCGGACGGGUGAGUAACACGUGGAUAACCUACCUAUAAGACUGGGAUAACUUCGGGAAACCGGAGCUAAUACCGGAUAAUAUAUUGAACCGCAUGGUUCAAUAGUGAAAGACGGUUUUGCUGUCACUUAUAGAUGGAUCCGCGCCGCAUUAGCUAGUUGGUAAGGUAACGGCUUACCAAGGCGACGAUGCGUAGCCGACCUGAGAGGGUGAUCGGCCACACUGGAACUGAGACACGGUCCAGACUCCUACGGGAGGCAGCAGUAGGGAAUCUUCCGCAAUGGGCGAAAGCCUGACGGAGCAACGCCGCGUGAGUGAUGAAGGUCUUCGGAUCGUAAAACUCUGUUAUUAGGGAAGAACAAAUGUGUAAGUAACUAUGCACGUCUUGACGGUACCUAAUAAGAAAGCCACGGCUAACUACGUG
This 497-nucleotide ribosomal RNA is filed under the name uncultured bacterium. RNAcentral's name for it is "partial 16S ribosomal RNA". It matches the Rfam family "Bacterial small subunit ribosomal RNA", at positions 28 to 507 of the family's 1533-position model. The record is from RNAcentral.